RNAcentral lists this ribosomal RNA (419 nucleotides) under bacterium. RNAcentral describes it as "partial 16S ribosomal RNA". It matches the Rfam family "Bacterial small subunit ribosomal RNA", at positions 355 to 776 of the family's 1533-position model. The record is from RNAcentral.
UGGGGGAUAUUGCACAAUGGGCGAAAGCCUGAUGCAGCGACGCCGCGUGGGGGAUGAAGGCCUUCGGGUUGUAAACUUCUUUUGCUCUGAACAAGGCAUGCUAAUGGGUGUGUUGAGUGUAGGGGUUGAUUAGCGCCGGCUAACUACGUGCCAGCAGCCGCGGUAAUACGUAGGGCGCGAGCGUUGUCCGGAAUUAUUGGGCGUAAAGGGCUUGUAGGUGGCUGGUUGCGUCUGUCGUGAAAGCUCAUGGCUUAACUGUGGGUUUGCGGUGGGUACGGGCUGGCUUGAGUGCAGUAGGGGUGGCUGGAAUUCCUGGUGUAGCGGUGGAAUGCGCAGAUAUCAGGAGGAAUACCGGUGGCGAAGGCGGGUCUCUGGGCUGUUACUGACACUGAGGAGCGAAAGCAUGGGGAGCGAACAGG